Molecule: long non-coding RNA, 2215 nt
Organism: Trematomus bernacchii (emerald rockcod)
Lineage: Eukaryota; Metazoa; Chordata; Actinopteri; Perciformes; Nototheniidae
Exons: 5
Source: RefSeq, a predicted model, not a curated record
GGGAAAUAAUGGGGAGGAUAAUGAAACAGGGGGGGAAACCCUGAAUGGAUGGAGCCACGGUGACGUCACGACCAGCCGCAGAAAUGAAGCUGAGUUUCAGCCCCCCCUCCGGAUCACUCGGUCUCCAUCUCCCGAGCUGCACGCUUCUCCUGCCGGGGAGCAGAGCACAGACACACCGGAUCCCUGGAGAGACACUCAGCGGCCUCACAGCACGUGGCUCAUAGGUCAAAGCUUGGACCAUGUGGCUUCGCCUGCAGCGUGAGAGGAUGGGUAGCCUUAGGGGUUGGUUGUUAUCUUUGGUUAUCUAGCUGUAUGAGUGAUGUACAUUCUUCAUAAAGCUAGAUAACCGAAAGUAACAAGAAUCCCAUUACACUCCUGAAAAGGCAUCAAGACCCCAAAACGCGGCACCAUACAAAAAAAAGCACAAACUCUACAAGCAACAUGAGAGCAGAACAUGGACAACGUUUAAAAGGAGAUGGGAGUUGACAGCAGCCAAAGGUUUCCAGCACCUCACCACUGAAGGGACGCUGGCAAAAACAGAGAAGAAGAAGAAUAUGGAGGAGGAGGAGGGGUUGCUGUUGAUUCUGCCCUCCCUCUCUCCUCACCCUCCUCUGCAUCGCCUCCUCCCUUCCUCCCUUCCUCCUCCGCUCCAUCCUCAGCCCCUUUUUCCCGUACAGCGAGACGCAGCCCUCGCCACCAUCUUAGAGCAACGCUGGCAUGAAAUGGAAGUGGAAAGACCAGUGAUCAGUGCAGGAGGAUGCUGCAGAGAACUCGAUGAAGUGGAAAGCAGGACUCCUUCGUUCAGCGAGGACUAAACAAGGACAGACCUCUUCAAUGCUUCUGUGCUUUCUCCGAGAAGGAACGCCUCUUUGUGUUUUCUCCAAAGCAAACAUCCCGGCUAACUGUCAGAAACAAGGUUCAAGGUGAAGAUGGACCGCGUGGAUCAACCUGUCCGUACGAGAGACUUUCACUGAGCUGUGUACUUAUUGUUCUUCCUUAGACGUGAAGCAGUGUAAUGUGUCUUCCACUAACAUAGGCUUGACUUACUGUAGGUCUCAUUUGAUGAGUUAUAGCUCUAGUUGGACUCAAAGACCUACGGCAGCAGUGAAGAAUACUGCACUGUGAUUGGACGGCUCCAUGUGUCUGCUGACACAAUGGCGAAGGAGUGAGCUGUCGUCUUUAUACUCUAUGCAACUGUUCAUUCUUUUCUUGGUCCCUUUCAUCCUGGAUUGUUAUUUUGGGACACCAGUUUAUUCCCUUGAAGAAAAAGCUGCCUUUCCUCCCCGGUGUUAAUGUACUGCUGCUGAACAUUACAGCCAGAGUGUGUGUGACGGAUGAUACAGCUCUCAUAUGUAUUCAAUCUCUUAUUUGCAGCCUUAACAGACUUUGAUUUGCAGCCGUGAGCCACAGUCUGAGUAAACGUGGACUCACGCGUUUAAUAUUCCUGGUGGCAGGAGAGUGUUUGAUCAGCAGGAAGUAGCUGCGCAGCGCUCAGGAUACUGAACACACCCCGGUAUUAAACACAGUUUCAGUUACCUGCUUCCCUUUAAUGACACAUGGUUGGGAGAGACAUUACAAAUACAUCGGCUUCAAACACUGCCUUCAUUUCCUGUCCUUGACAUUAACACACACACUCACACACUCACACACACACGCCCAAAUGCAAUAAAGCGAGUACUAUCGCAGCCUAAUUCAUUCUAUAUUAAUUUUCGAGAAGUGGCCAAUUUUUUAUUACGAUUGAUAAUCUAUGCAAAUCUUUUAAAUAUUACUUUAAACAAUCUAUGUCUACGCAGGGCUUUUUGCAAUUGAUUCAAGGGAGACUAUCUCGGCCUAAUUUAGAAAAUGUAUUCUUUUGAUAAUCAUGCACAUCCCAGUGCUCAAGACAAUUACUUAUCUGCCUGGAUAAGCUUGAAAUUAUGUUUUUAAUCUUCAGCAAAAAGAAAAAAAAAGUCUCUCUUCUGAUAUUAGGCAGAAUAGUGGAGAUGAAAUCCGUUGCACUUAAUCUCUUUUUUCCUUAAAUGCAGAUCAGACGUAUCUAUUCAGCUGUGCUACUUCAUAGCUUAGUGUUAUAUGAAUAUAAUAUAUAUAUAUAUAUAUAUAAAAGCAGCAAUGUUUGUGUUAUGCAAUCUAUUUGGUGUGAAUGAGUGUUCACCACAUGUGCCUUUGUAUGCAAAAAACUGGUUGGAAUAUGAAUAAAGGUUUACAUUGAAAACAA